Unclassified non-coding RNA from Callithrix jacchus (white-tufted-ear marmoset), 298 nucleotides. It matches the Rfam family "Metazoan signal recognition particle RNA". From Rfam's summary of the family: The signal recognition particle (SRP) is a universally conserved ribonucleoprotein. The record is from Ensembl. Lineage: Eukaryota; Metazoa; Chordata; Mammalia; Primates; Cebidae.
ACGGGGUGUAGUGGCGUGUGCCUGUAGUCCCAGCUACUCAGGAGGCUGACGCUGGAGGAUCACUUGAGCAGGAGUUCUGGGCUGUGGUGUACUGUGCCGAUUAGGUGUUCGCAGUAAGUUCGUCAUCAAUAUGGUGAUCUCCCGGGAGCGCCGGACCACCAGGUUGUCUAAGGAGAGGUGAACUGGCCCAGAUUAUAAACAGAGCAGAUCAAAACUCCCGUGCCGAUCAGUAGUGGGAUCACACCUGUGAAUAGGCACUGCACUCCAGCCUGGGCAACACAGCUAGACCCUGCCUCUU